Theobroma umbraticum is the source of this 858-nucleotide long non-coding RNA. RefSeq lists it as uncharacterized. The record is from RefSeq and is a predicted model, not a curated record. Lineage: Eukaryota; Viridiplantae; Streptophyta; Magnoliopsida; Malvales; Malvaceae.
UAUUCAUAAAAUUAUUAUUUUAUUUAAAAAUAUUCUUUCCGCCCACCGCCGUUCUCUAAAACUCAAACUUACCUCAAAUACCCUUUAGUAUCCUCAAUAGAGUCUCAUCAAUCAUUAAAUAAGGUUACGGGGUGUUACAAUUAGAGAGUAGGGUGGUUGUAACUCUGGUUAAGUGUGACCUUUGUGCACAAUUGAGCUCUAGCUAGAGAACUGUUGGGUAGCCGAUGGGCUGUUAGACAUGGCUGGAGCCAAGGUCUGUGAUUUUACUUGACUAGGCCACAAAUGACUAUAUGCUGUUGCGACCGCUUGAUAUUUUCUUUGAUGUCGGCCAACAUCGUUGAGAUAGGCAUGUGGGGAUCUAGUGGAGUAGAACUCCCGGAUGUUAUGACAUGGAAACGGGUCCACGUGUUGUUAUUUUCUACCUACUUGAGAGUGAUAUUUCUUUUGAUUUAUACAUAAGUGAUCAGCUUUAGGAUUGUGUUCGACAUAUCGAGGGUGACUACGCCCUAGGUAUGGCCUCUCUAGAUUUCCACUCCGGGUCACUCCGCUGCCUAGGGGUCAUUGUGUAUACAAUAAUCUAGGGUGUAAAAAUUGAUAGUCUUUAAAGAUGUAAAUGUUAAAGCAUAAGACUAUGUGGAAAUGUUUAAAUACUAUGACUGGUUGUACAUGUAGUUAUUAAACUUAGAUGUUUGUAUCAAAUAGUUAUGUUUUAAAUAAAUGUGAAUAUUUGGUGUAAAUAAUUAUUGGUGUUAAUAUGUGAGGUGAUGUGGAGAUCAAAUUAAGGCUUGUUUGAGAUUUGGUGAGUUCACUCACAAGUCUCGAAUGCCGGUAGCGAUCGAGGGGAAGAGGUCGUUACAG